Molecule: ribosomal RNA, 119 nt
Filed under: Oncorhynchus kisutch (coho salmon)
Lineage: Eukaryota; Metazoa; Chordata; Actinopteri; Salmoniformes; Salmonidae
Source: RNAcentral
GCUUACGACCACACCGGCCUGAGUACGCCUGAUCUCGUCUGAUCUCUGAAGCUAAGCAGGGUUGGGCCUGGUUAGUACUUGGAUGGGAGACCGCCUGGGAAUACCAGGUGCUGUAAGCU